GAUGAACGCUGGCGGCGUGCCUAAUACAUGCAAGUCGAGCGAACAGACGAGGAGCUUGCUCCUCUGACGUCAGCGGCGGACGGGUGAGUAACAUGUGGAUAACCUACCUCUAAGACUGGGAUACCUUCGGGAAACCGGAGCUAAUACCGGAUAAUAUAUUGAACCGCAUUGUUCAAUAGUGAAAGACGGUUUUGCUGUCACUUAUAGAUUGAUCCGCGCCGCAUUAGUUAGUUGGUUAGGUAACGGCUUACCAAGGCAACGAUGCGUAGCCGACCUGAGAGGGUGAUCGGCCACACUGGAACUGAGACACGGUCCAGACUCCUACGGGAGGCAGCAGUAGGGAAUCUUCCGCAAUGGGCGAAAGCGUGACGGAGCAACGCCGCGUGAGUGAUGAAGGUGUUCGGAUCGUAAAACUCUGUUAUUAGGGAAGAACAAAUGUGUAAGUAACUAUGCACGUCUUGACGGUACCUAAUCAGAAAGCCACGGCUAACUACGUG
This 497-nucleotide ribosomal RNA is filed under the name uncultured bacterium. RNAcentral describes it as "partial 16S ribosomal RNA". It matches the Rfam family "Bacterial small subunit ribosomal RNA", at positions 28 to 507 of the family's 1533-position model. The record is from RNAcentral.